Small nuclear RNA from Rosa chinensis, 194 nucleotides. RefSeq annotates it as U2 spliceosomal RNA. Lineage: Eukaryota; Viridiplantae; Streptophyta; Magnoliopsida; Rosales; Rosaceae. The record is from RefSeq and is a predicted model, not a curated record. The transcript has a single exon.
AUACCUUUCUCAGCUUUUUGGCUAAGAUCAAGUGUAGUAUCUGUUCUUAUCAGUUUAAUAUCUGAUACGUGAACCAAUGGUUCACACGAUAUUAAUUUUAUUUUUUAAAGGGGUGGGUUUAUUACUGUAGCUUGCUGCAAUGCUCACGCGAGUCAUCCUUGCGUUGCACUACAGCAAGGUUUGGCGCACCCUAC